Molecule: ribosomal RNA, 492 nt
Filed under: uncultured bacterium
Lineage: Bacteria
Description: partial 16S ribosomal RNA
Rfam family: Bacterial small subunit ribosomal RNA
Source: RNAcentral
AGUGAACGCUGGCGGUAGGCCUAACACAUGCAAGUCGAACGGCAGCACAGUAAGAGCUUGCUCUUACGGGUGGCGAGUGGCGGACGGGUGAGGAGUACAUCGGAAUCUACUUUUUCGUGGGGGAUAACGUAGGGAAACUUACGCUAAUACCGCAUACGACCUACGGGUGAAAGCAGGGGAUCUUCGGACCUCGCGCGAUUGAAUGAGCCGAUGUCGGAUUAGCUAGUUGGCGGGGUAAAGGCCCACCAAGGCGACGAUCCGUAGCUGGUCUGAGAGGAUGAUCAGCCACACUGGAACUGAGACACGGUCCAGACUCCUACGGGAGGCAGCAGUGGGGAAUAUUGGACAAUGGGCGCAAGCCUGAUCCAGCCAUACCGCGUGGGUGAAGAAGGCCUUCGGGUUGUAAAGCCCUUUUGUUGGGAAAGAAAAGCAGCAGGUUAAUACCCCGCUGUUCUGACGGUACCCAAAGAAUAAGCACCGGCUAACUUCGUG